GAGAGUAUAGAUCAGUGGUAGACUGCAUGCCUAGCAUGCAUGAGGUCCUAGGUUCAAUGCCCAGUACUUCCA
This 72-nucleotide transfer RNA is filed under the name Camelus bactrianus (Bactrian camel). It matches the Rfam family "tRNA". From Rfam's summary of the family: Transfer RNA (tRNA) molecules are approximately 80 nucleotides in length. Their secondary structure includes four short double-helical elements and three loops (D, anti-codon, and T loops). Lineage: Eukaryota; Metazoa; Chordata; Mammalia; Artiodactyla; Camelidae. RNAcentral also lists the same sequence under 3 other names. The record is from Rfam by way of RNAcentral.